UCACGCUCUAUAAAAUCCAGCAUUCCGAAAUGGCUGUCAGGUGCGGUGGCUAAGCCUGGGGACAUAUGAAGCCGGUAUGUUUUAAAGUUGUCGUUUGCUUGCAUAUUGUAAAAACAACCGUCCAACAUUUUACAACUAAUUGUAAACUUGUAGGUGCCGAACAUCAGGGACGUGUUGCGACGAGAGAGUGUGUCGAUGAUAAGAUAUUAAGCCGAGUUGGUAAGUGAAUCUGUUUGCUAAUAGUAGCGACUAGCCGUACCCAUGUAUUUCCUAUGGGCGGUUAGCAUCGGGUUUUAAUCCCGUUUCCUCCAAUGUUUCUGAUCCGAUUGAAUGUAUAUUUAUGUCGAGUCUUUAUUUUGAGUAUUUACAUAUGGUAACUGAAUGUUGUGGCGUUUUAAGGCCAUUUGCACUUUUUAUGCUAUGGUAAAGACAAUGAAUGAAUACUGCCGCUGGUGUGCGGUUACACCCGUCAUAGUGACGUCACUGUUAGUUAAUGUUACUCCCGUCAUAGUGACAACACUGUGUACUGUCGUGUUUAUUUUAUACAUGCAUGUGAUUGUUAAUGUUAGCAGUAUUAUAGCUAAUAAUGAUAAUAAUAAGUGUAACUUAUUUAUUGAAGGUCGAACGAUAGAUGACUUAAUGUUGAUGUUUAUGUGCGCACAUUGAUUGAACUUCGGGUCCUGUGCUUACGCAGGCCAGGUCCCUAAGUCUUGGAUGGCGAGCUGUAGAUAGGCCUCGAGCCUGAGCCCAAGGAUCUCCACCUGUUCUGGUCGGGCCGGUGUUGGUGCUGUCGUCUUUGGUCCCAUCCAGACUUCCAUCCUGGCCCAUCUGGAGAUAGAAGCCCUGCCUGCAGAACAACCUGGUCACUAUGCCCUUCAGCUGUGGUUCUAUGGGAAACAAGGCAAGGGAAGGAGUCAAAGGCACGUCUGAAAUUCAGCCUGAGCAAAGUGGCAGCGUGUGACGCCACAUCCCCACGGACUUCCAGAGAGGACCAGUCAAGCACAUCAAAUCCAUCACAGGAUUCUUGGGACUAAUCCUUCCUUCCUGGUCAUUGUUCCACUUGGAAAACCCCGAUAAGGUUGCCAGGUCAGAUGGGAGGAAUCACUGCCUAAAAAAAUGGAGCCGGAUAAACUAGUGCCACAUGCAUGUGACCACACCCACUGUGUUAAAAGCAUGCGGGAAUCCCCUUUGAGCAUGUUGUGUGCGUGCGUGAGCGUAAACGUAGAGUCAAGGUGAUGCGCAGACACCAAACCGAGGCUGACCCAGUUUGGGAGGCGUGCAUGAAAGAGGGGGCAGAGGCGCUGGGGGUGUUUUCCAUCUUUGUGACGGAUCCAUUUUGUGCAGCGGGAAGAAAGAGGUGUCAAGUUGGUGUGAAGCUUUGCAUGGAAGUGUGCUUGUGAAGUGUGACACUAUGUAGUCACAAAUUCAUCUGUACAUUACAUCAACACUACUAUAAUGAGCAUUAACAUGGAGGCUCCAGUGUCUUGUCCUGUUGGUUUAAAUACGUUACAUGACAGCAGUGUAUUUCUUGACGUCAGUGGAUACACAGUAUACAGUAUGCGCCUGGUGGUGUGAAUUUUAAAAGCACAUUAAAAAAAGACCUGCACUCACAAAUUUCCGCCACCCUUAUACAACAGGAAUUCCCCAAUCACUGUGUUGCAGCAUACUAUCAAAUUGUAUUAAUGUUAUCCAAAAUGUUUUACUUAUUUUAUAUUUUUCUAUUUAUUAUAUUUACUUUGCUUGUCUAUGCUAGUAAAAUAUAGUGGUAGGCAGAACAGUGAAAGCACCAGUAGAGUGGAAAAACAAGUUGACUUGAUGUUAGAGAUGUCCGAUAAUGGCUUUUUUGCCAAUAUCCGAUAUUGUCCAACUCUUAAUUACCGAUUCCGAUAUCAACCGAUACCGAUAUAUACAGUCGUGGAAUUAACACAUUAUUAUGCCUAAUUUUGCUGUGAUGCCCCGCUGGAUGCAUUAAACAAUGUAAGAAGGUU
Nerophis lumbriciformis (worm pipefish) is the source of this 1988-nucleotide long non-coding RNA. RefSeq lists it as uncharacterized. The record is from RefSeq and is a predicted model, not a curated record. Lineage: Eukaryota; Metazoa; Chordata; Actinopteri; Syngnathiformes; Syngnathidae.